Molecule: non-coding RNA, 24 nt
Filed under: Arabidopsis thaliana (thale cress)
Lineage: Eukaryota; Viridiplantae; Streptophyta; Magnoliopsida; Brassicales; Brassicaceae
Source: RNAcentral
AUGUUAUUAGCUAAAAUGUUUAGA